UAUAGCUUAGUAUUUCAUAGGAAGAAUUCUUCCUGUUUUUGGUUGUUGACAGCAUAAGCGUAGAUUUCUUAUUUACCUAUCUAUUCUUAUUUACAGUUCGGCUCCUUCCCUUUAACUGAAAGCAACCUUUCAGUCCCCCUCUCAGCAGUGCUUCUGUCUUUUGGGACUGUGUUCAGAGGGGAUGAAAGAAAGAACCACAAGCAGUUUCUAGAAAGUAUGAUUUAAAAAGAAAGCUAUCCAUGCUUUUGGAACGGAAAGAUUAUUUAUAAUCUGUGAUUUUCUUUCUGUGUUUCAUGACAAGCAAGAAGUGAAGCCCAUGCGUGGGAGGCCUCCAUCAGCACGUGUGAAAGCCGCUUUCAGGGGGGACCGGACGACUGUCCACAAGCCAAAAGGCUGCUUCAGCAAACCCCCUGUUGCUCCUCCACAGUGAUUCACCACCAUGAACAACCAGCACAUGCCCUGGCAACCUGUCGGGACAAAGCUGGACGCCCGAUGUUGGCGUGUCGGGUUACAUUAGGCCCUGCGUGCCUCACAGAAUUGGUUUUGGUAUAAGGAUAACUGCAUGGAUUGAGAUAGCGGACUGAGUUUAGUAACCGCAUCAUCUCAGGGACGUCUAAUCCUAAAAUGCUGCUUGCUACAGAUUGUGAAAUCGACACAGGAUUUCCAGGGGGAUGUUAAGGCUUUGGGUUUUCCGCUUGCUGCGCAUCCGUGUGUCAUUACUGGUGCUUCCGUUUAAUGCCGCAGCGUGAAGAGGGUGCACCGGGAGGUCCCUGCCUGGUGCACCUGGCCUGACGGCCUAUGGCACAGCUGUAGCCCUAGGUCACUGGUGCCAGGGAUUCGCUUUUUUGUUGACAUCCACUUCUCUGGGCAUUCCCAGAUGGUCCUCUGCUCUGUCCCUGACUUCCCCCAAGUCCAAGGACAGCUUUGGGGAUCCUGGGAUAUUGGGGAUUGAUCGGGGUCUCUGGCAGUCAGGCUUGCUGCUGCCCAGGAUGGCCCAGGUUAGAGAGAUGAAGGUCUGCUUUCUGAGCCCAGUUCAGACUCCAAUUCCCAGCUUGCUGUUCUGACAGCUUCUUGGAGCUCACACCAGAAGGGUCUUGCAGAUUAUUUCUUGAAGGGUGGUGUGUGCCGCAGGCUUGCCUAAGGCCUGAUGGCAGUUUUUGGUGAGGAGCUGGGAGCCCCUGAAGCUGGGCGAGUGUGUGAGGUGCGGGGGGGGGGGGGGGGGGGGAGUGUGACAAGUGCAACAUGAAGGUCACCAGAGUUCACCAAGAAGACAAGGAGGCAGCAGGAGGGUUGGAGCCGUGUAGGUGCCUGGAGAUUGUCUUCUUGUACAGCAGAGGAACUCCGGGAAGGGAAGCCAGUCUCUUCCUCAGUGCCCGAUCGUCUCAGGCACACGGGACGUUCACACUGGCACUGGCCGUGCUCCUGCUAGAAGUCUUCGCAGGGGCUGCUGCCACAGGUACUGAUGACAUGAGUCUUGUAUUUGAGGCGGUGACAGGAGCCACCGGUUGGGAACACAGGCAAACUCUUCUGGAGUUCCAGUAACUAUGGAAUGGUGAGUUCACUAGGACAUGCUAGGCUUUCUCUCAAAGCACACAGAUCUGCGCCUACUGUAAUUCUGCCAACAAAAUGGGUGGUUGAAGGAGAUGAGGAAGUUUGGAAAUGGGAUAUUGAAAGCAUUGAAGUGGCCCCUUGUGUUGGCUGCACAAGAAUGGAAGAAUUUGGAUCAUUGUGUGAUUCGUGCAAUAAAUUCACUUUGUCUCCUUAUAGAAAUAUUUUAGGAAAAAGGAUGCUUUUAUCCUAAAUUAUCUAGAUGACUGCUUCAAAUCUUUUUUUUUCCCAAAUAGUUUUACCUCAUCUUGUUAGGUUUCAAUUGAAAUAAUUUUUUGAAAGUUCAUGUAAAUUGCAUUUUUCAAUAUUAGAAGCAAACAAAUCCAAAUGCUCUCCAGGUAUCGUGGUAGAUCUUUAGAAGUCUAUGGAAGUCCUUGACUGAGAUUUUUGAAGUACAACUCGUCACGCAAUUAGUAAUAGAAACAAGAGAUCAAGGACAACAUUCAUCCAUAUUCUUCUGUGCUAAAUGAACAUUCCAAACAUAUGUGUGAUGCCACAGAAGUCUUUACCUUGAGGAGGAAGAGAUAACAUUCUGGCAAACCAAAAUUACCAAAGAAAAGUUCCACUAACCCACCGUAUUAUUAAGACUUGCUAAAAAUUAAACUACUGGCUUCCUCAGACCUUUGUGAAUAGUCAACAAAGUCCAUUUUUCUUACCUAAGAGCCCCAAAUUGGUGGAAACUGCAAAUUAUGUUCUAUGAUGUUUCAAUUUAAACAGCCACGUUGUAUUUUUCUAUUACUUUCCUGAAAUACUAGAGAUGUACGGGUAUAUAAUAAAGGUGUUUUAAAAAAUGACCUGACAUGGGCAGCCCAGGUGGCUCAGGGGUUUGGCACCACCUUUGAUCGAGGGGAUGAUCCUGGAGACCAGGGAUCAAGUCCCACGUCAGGCUCCCUGCAUGGAGCCUGCUUCUCCCUCUGCCUGUGUCUUUGACUUUCUGUGUCUCUCAUGAAUAAAUAAAUAAAAAUCUUUUUUAAAAAAAUGACCUGACAUUAUACAUGAUUUAUUGUGUAAUCAACAAUUAGGGGGCAACGCCUGAUUUUGUGUUAAAGGUAUGAGAUCUGUUUCUGCUCCAUUAGCAGGAAGGACAGGACAGCCACAUAACCUGUGCUUUACACAGAUCAUUCUGAAGGCACUGGCAUGUUGCACACUUUGCAUUUCCCUGGUGCUCUUUGUUAGCACGUGGACACAAGUCCAUAUGGACGCUGGAAUACUUUUAAAAGGUUUUCAUUCUCAGCAUACACUAGGUAAUAACUUAAAUAUUCUACAUUUAAUUCAAGUAGCCAGUCUUACAAAACGAAGGGGAGGAGGGAAAGGGAGAUGUAUUUUACCUUGUUGGUCACUUGGUGACCUACCAACUUCACCACUUAAUUGCACGAUGACCCACUCCACCACCAGGAUUUUUUGUUCUUUCUUGGCGAGGAAGGGAGAGGUCAAGGCAUGCAGUCGUUUCGAUUUGGCAGCAUGCUCUGUGUUCCGGCUCUGUAGCUGGGAAGUAUGGGCAGCAACCGGCUGGACUGGAGCAAGUCCCUCAGCUACACUCAGUGCUCCAAUCUAUUGUAUAGAAUAAACCACUUCUGUCUAUCCCCAUAGGUAAGGCAUCGUGAAGACAAAAGGGGUCUCCUGUGUUUUGAGUUCCUUGGUGGAAAGCUGAAAUGGGAAACUGCUUUAUGUGCAGAGACAUGUUUGCAUAUGUGAGAACUGAAUUUAGUGGCCAAAGGGUCCUUUCCUUUAAAUCAACAAGCUGGCAGCUCACCAUGUUGUUGGUUUAUCCAUCUUCCUGAAGUUAGAAAGUGAGGACGGCAUAUGGCAUGGAGCUGAAACCUACUCAGGAGGUCAAAGAUCGUGGUGGAAGCGGUGGGGCGCAGGCAAGUGUCCUUGGAGAGGUCUGGCUGUCGGUGAGGUGGGGCUGGCUGGUCCUCAGUGGGAGGACUCCCAAGAAGCCAGCUCUGGAGACCAGAGAGGCUGGAAGCCAGGGAGCAUGUGAAUGGAGAUCUUCAUGAGGCAGGGCGAGGUGAGCUGUGAGGUUUGCCUUGGGCACAAGGACGUCACAAGGGAGCCCCACAAGCGUGCAGAUGUACCAUUCCCCUUUCCCGUCUGCCCCCUUUUCCCGGGAUCAUGGACAGAUCCAAACAAUUCCUCCUUUCUGACACCAUUCACUGCCCUACCAAACUAUGUGGCAAGAAUUUUGUUUGCUGAGAUGAGGAAAGUCAGAGGAAGACGAGAGAGAGCAUGUUCAGAAGAUUGCCACCUGCUGGAAGCCACUGCUUUGCCUGGCGGUAGGACCCAGGGCAGAGAUGGGACGGGCAGAGGCUGCUGUUCCCCGCCCCCGUCACCAGCGCUUCUUUUGGGGAGGCCAGGGAGACGCUUUCCUGGGUGGUGCUAUUCCUGAAAGGCUCCCACCAGCCAAAAAAAGUCCAAGCCAUGGCCUUGUUCUGAGACCCUCUUGCUGGGGCCCCAAUUGCCGUCUGGGGAGGAUGGUUUUAAAAAUAAAAUGUAUGAUUUCAUGGGUUUUAUGUGGAGUGGCCGCCCUCCCCAUGAAGGAUCCACACAAUAUAGGUACAGCUGUUUUCUCUGCUUCUCAAGUGUUGCUCUUUCUUCAAAGAGCUGAACACUCCUUAAGACCAUGAAUACAGAAAAUCAUCUCCUUGCUUACAGCUGACACUGAGAAGCCGCUGUUUAAAAACAUCCAACGAGGAGAGGACGUCGCUGUGUGAAGCCAGAUACCUCCAACUGCCCUUUCAGUCUACUGAAGAAUGUGGGGCGGGAAAAGAACAGAGAAAGCAGAGUCUCUAAUCACAGCUGUUCCUCAAGUAUUCUCAGGCCUCGUGGCAAUUUUUAACAAUCCAAAUAAAGGGAGGUUUGGCGUUACUUGGCACAUAGUAAGUACUCAGUAAAUACUGGCUGAAUGUUCCUUAUCUGUUGGGAAGAAUUUGACUAACUUCGUAAAACUGUAAAGUUCUUUGAGGGGCUCCUGGAAUAUAUCUAGAUAAUUCAAACAGAAAACACUAAAAUGUCAUUUGCUUGGGAAUGCAUAUGCAAACAAGCAGUAUUAGCAGGGCGAACCACAUUUCUGAUGGAGUCCGGAAAUGCUUGGAAACCUCACCUGCAGAUAGUUAAAAUUUAAAAAAAAUCAUCAUUCCUCUAGUUGUUGCAGAUUGGGGGUACUUUAUUUAAAUCCAGGGACUCCUGAAAUUGUAU
RNAcentral lists this long non-coding RNA (4806 nucleotides) under Canis lupus familiaris (dog). RNAcentral describes it as "lncRNA (ENSCAFG00845001527.1)". Lineage: Eukaryota; Metazoa; Chordata; Mammalia; Carnivora; Canidae. The record is from RNAcentral.